RNAcentral lists this ribosomal RNA (253 nucleotides) under uncultured bacterium. RNAcentral's name for it is "partial 16S ribosomal RNA". It matches the Rfam family "Bacterial small subunit ribosomal RNA", at positions 524 to 776 of the family's 1533-position model. The record is from RNAcentral.
UACAGAGGGGGCAAGCGUUAUUCGGAAUUAUUGGGCGUAAAGGGCGCGUAGGCGGCAUGGCAAGUGGAAGGUGAAAUCCCUCGGCUUAACCGAGGAACUGCCCUCCAAACUGCUUUGCUUGAGUUCGGGAGAGGUGAGUGGAACUGCGAGUGUAGAGGUGAAAUUCGUAGAUAUUCGCAAGAACACCAGUGGCGAAGGCGGCUCACUGGCCCGAUACUGACGCUGAGGCACGAAAGCGUGGGGAGCAAACAGG